AACGCCUUAGCAGUCUCCAUGGAAGGAGGAGGUGAAGCCUGAGGGAGGAAGAAAAACUCCUGUCUUAGGCAGGAGCCAGGAACAUGGGACCGACCGUCAUGGUCUGGACCUACUGGGCUCAGGUCAGGCACAGGAUCUGCUUCAACCAGGGACUAGUGGAGCAUCUCUGGGCACAAUGAGACCAAAGGCUCUGAUGGCCCCAGUGCAGCUGGGCUGGGACCUGCUGUACCUAAACUCGUGAUGCGGGCUGGCACAAGUCCCAGCAGGAGAGGCAGCCAGCAGCAGCAAGCUGACAUGGGCUCUGCUCUACCCCAAGCCUCUCAAGAGCAGGUCUGUCUGCCGUUCUCACCCCUUGGGGGUUACUUGUUAUCCAGCAUAUCCACAGCAGCAGCUAGGAAACUCCCUGGGAAACUGUAGAGGUCAAGAGAGAGAGAGACUGCCUGCUCACGCCCAGCCCAGGCAGAGCUAGUCAGCUUCAACACAAGAAAAGCACAACCAACGCCCUGACUUUCUCUCCCAUGGUCUCGAUGACUCAAGGGCCCCAGAAGUGCACAGGUCAUUCAGAGUGCCUGCAAGGGCUAUUCUGCUGCCUGGAAGACAAAGGUACAUCUCAGAUGGACCAGAGAUGGAACCCAAAUUCUGACCUUAGAUUCUCAAACAGAUGGACGAGAGAGGGCUGAGCUGGGCACAGCUCAGCUGCUAAGGCAUUUGUCUCAUUGAAUGCCACAAUCAAUCUGAAACUGACAUUAUA
RNAcentral lists this long non-coding RNA (751 nucleotides) under Cricetulus griseus (Chinese hamster). Its description in RNAcentral is "lncRNA (ENSCGRG00015040604.1)". The record is from RNAcentral. Lineage: Eukaryota; Metazoa; Chordata; Mammalia; Rodentia; Cricetidae.